Molecule: long non-coding RNA, 3261 nt
Filed under: Podarcis lilfordi (Lilford's wall lizard)
Lineage: Eukaryota; Metazoa; Chordata; Lepidosauria; Squamata; Lacertidae
Source: RNAcentral
GUGAUGACCCUAUAUGGUGAUGGGUGUAAUAAAGGCCUUGACCGGAUGAGGUAACGUGAGACAUUGGCAAACGGCCAUGCGGCUGGAGAGAGACAAAGGAUAAUAAAAAAGCUACGAGAGGAGAGAGAAGUUCGAAAGGAGCUGCUCAUACCAUCCUGAAAAUAUUGCUGGCUCUCUGUGUCUUUAUUUUAUGCUAAACUGCGCCAUUUGUGACGGCUGGCUCCGACAAGUGGUGCCCCGUGUGAGGCAGAAUAAAAGAAUACGUCUGAGGCUUUUAAAAGAAAACCGUGUGAGGUUUUUCGAUCCAAGCAAAGGAUAUCAUCGGCUCACCACGCCCGGCAAGGGUUUCAAGCGCAAAUCAUCUUAAAAAGAUCCCGGUGAGUUCGAUCUCUUUUUUUUAUCUCGAUUUUAGAAAAAUGGGCAGCUCUUUGUCUACUCCCCAACAGAAAUUUUUAAAAGAUUUAAAAUUUCUCCUCUCCUCCAACAAAUUGGAAGUUCCGGAGGGUGAUUUGAUACAGCUCAUUCUGGCCAUCGAAGAGCAUUCCCCCUGGUUUCCUGCAGAUGGGACUUGGGAAUUGAAACAUUGGGACAAGAUCGGGGCACAUUUUCAUGGGCACCCCAGCAUUGGUCUUGGAGUCUAAAUGCAUGGUGCAAGGUUCGUUACGCCAUGGGCUCUUUAUCACCAAAAAAUAUCUCCCUGGCUGCAUUGCCAACACAACCUCCAGCUUCCUUAGUCCAGCCUGCUGUGUUAGCCUCUGUUCCAAUACUUGCUUUGCCAGCAGCCCCAGACCCCAAACCUCCGGACUACAGUUCCUCACCAGAGGACCCAAUCCUGCAAAAAUACCGUGGUCUGGCUGGCAAUGAUCCUAAUCUUUCAGCGGCAGAACCAGCUACCCCUUUUCAACGUGCAGUCCUUGCCUGUUCCUUAAUUCAGGAUACUAUGGCAUUCCCUGUUAUUGUGCCCCCUGCUGGUGCCCCGGCAGGCACCCAAGCCCAACACCAACCUUUUGACUUUAAGAUUUUGAAAGAGCUGCAACAGUCAGUAAAGGCCAAUGGACUCCAAGCCACAUUAGCCCAGCUCUUGGUUCCAGAGGACAUCAAGCUUUUGGCCCAUACAGUGUUACCCCCAUCAGCUGGUGUUUUGUUUGCCCACGAAUGGGAAACUGCCUGCCGUGCUUAUGCUCCAGCCUUGUUACAACAAGUCAGAGGAAAUAAUCCAAAUGUUACCCUCGCAGACGUCAUAGAUGCCAUGAUGGGGCGUGAUCCCUUCGCUCAAGUUUCAGUGCAAGCCACACUGCUGCAAAUCUUAUUGAGGGACACUGCUUUUGCUGCUAAACAAGCAAUGAGAAAAAUCCCAGAACCCAGUAUUCAAUCAAGGUGGGGUUCAAUCAGGCAAGAGGCAAGAGAAUCAUAUUCUUCCUUUAUGGACAGGCUGCUUACAGCAGUGAGUCGCCAAAUUGAAAAUCCUGAAGCCAAACAAAUAAUUAUCAAACAAUUGGCCUUUGAAAAUGCCAAUGAGGAUUGUAAGGUUGCGUUACGACCGAUAAUACACAAUCCUGACACAGACACAGCAGCCAUGCUUCGCAUUUGUCAGUCUGUAGGUACAGCCACCCACAAGGCUCAUCUGCUGGCAACAGCGCUAAAUGAAAACCAGCCUGUAGCCACCGAUACAACUUGUUUCCAGUGUGGCAAACCAGGAUCACCGAUACCCCAGUGGGGGUAGAACAGUGGCCUCUACCAAAAGAAAAAUCCGCAACAGCGGCACCAGCUAUCUCUGACCAGCUUAUUUCUGAACAAUUGACUUUCGGCCACAUUGAACCAUCUUCAUCCCACUGGCUCCAGCAGACAGGGAACGGUUUGCUUUACAUUGCCAGCAUAUAACAAUUCGCAGCCCACCCAGCGAUAUCAGUGGGUUGUCCUGCCUCAAGGCAUGCGGAACUCCCCUACACUUUGUCAACAUUUUGUGGGUGAAGCAUUGAAACCUUUCCGCAUGCGCCACCUAGAGGUGCUGCACACGAGCUGCAUCUGGCAGUGUUUGCCUUCCUAACCAUUUGCCUUGCCAUCCUUUGCUGCACCGUUAUACAAGGAAGAGAAGCAGACGACCAGUCCAGUUGAAACCACCAUAUUUCACCUCAUCGGCUGGCAAGCAGCUGUCGUCAGAAUCCUACUCUGGCUGGCAGUAUCCACGGCUCAGCCACUUUCGAACUAGAAAAACAGCAUUGUUGAAUAAGACUUUUAGGGGAGAAAAUUAUCACAAGAUAUGGAGGGAUAAUAUUUUUGUACAAGAUAUGAUUAUGUUUGCCAGUUUAUUGCAUGCUUCUAAAUGUUGGGUGUGUAUGCCAGUCAUUCAGGCAUAAUGCUUCAUGGUGUGCCUGUCAAUGGAUCUUUUCAAUUUACUAAUAUUAUAUCCCCUAAGCAAACUUUUUGGCCUCCAGUACAAUUGACCCUCCAUGAGCCUGCCCCCAUUUGUUUUCAAAUUAAAGAGGGGAAAGAAUCAUGGGGCAUAUAUCCAAACUGUCAAUAUACAUUGAAUUUCACUUUUAAUAGCUCUUGUUCUCUUACAGGAACAUACAGUGACCAAUCUCAGUGCUAUAGGAGUGACACCAGUGCAUGGCUAAUAAACUAGAAAGGAAGCCUACCAUGCAGCUUGGAAUCAGAAUUCUUAUAUUCUUGGCUCCCAGAUGGGAGUUGGCUUCGACAUUUAUUGAUUUUAGUGAUCAUUAUAGUAGUUAUUUGCAUUAUUUUGUGUUGCUGUAUCCAAUGUAUUCCUUCUUUAAUUUCUAUAUGUACUGCAUGGUUCUCCAGUCCGCGGCCCGCUUCCGGUGUCACAAGAGUCGCUUAUCACGCUCGAUAUAACCGUAUUGGUACUGACAUAUAUGACUCUGAUUAAUAAAAUUAAGAAAGAGGGCAUGUGGGAGUCAUAAAGCCACAGCAAAGGCUUGUAAUAUUGCAGGGUGCCCCCUGACCUCGGCUGACCAGCACUCUGAGCUUUACAAUGUAUUGGAAUGUAUUGACCUUAAAUGGAGUUGUGUUUCCUCUGGGCAGUGAUGACCCUAUAUGGUGAUGGGGGUAAUAAAGGCCUUGACCAGAUGAGGUAACGUGAGACAUUGGCAAACGGCCAUGCGGCUGGAGAGAGACAAGGGAUAAUAAAAAAGCUACGGGAGGAGAGAGAAGUUCGAAAGGAGCUGCUCAUACCAUCCUGAAAAUAUUGCUGGCUCUCUGUGUCUUUAUUUUAUGCUAAACUGCGCCAUUUGUGACGGC